Cuculus canorus (common cuckoo) is the source of this 3816-nucleotide RNA transcript. It is a transcript of the gene named glutamine-rich protein 2-like, with no coding region annotated. NCBI's taxonomy places the organism in Eukaryota, Metazoa, Chordata, Aves, Cuculiformes, Cuculidae. The transcript has 14 exons. The record is from RefSeq and is a predicted model, not a curated record.
UUUUAAGGGGGGGGGGGGAGAAUCUUUAAACGCUUCCUGCAGUGUGGCGCUUCGGCCACACGGCGGCAGCACUGAGUUAGCGUUGCCAUUUUUACCAUUUUAUCGGAUUUGGGGAUCGACAAAACGGGCGCCGAAUCGGCCGGAGCAGCAGCUCCCGCGGCGCCGCCCGCACAACCCUCGCCCGCUGCCGGGCUCCGGAGCGUUGCAAACCAUGCUUUCCCUCGGGCCGACCCUGACCGAGACGCCGGCGCUUCGGCCCGCUUCCGCGGAGCACGGACGCUCCCGGGCAGGAAAACAGGGCCGCGCUGACGUUCAGGCGCGGCUGCGGGCUCCGCGCUUCAGCACCGAGGAGACAGCUUCAGACUUGUCUACAGCCAGGAAAUCUCACCCGCCUUAACUGCUCUCUAAGCAGUUUUGGGGAGAGCCCCAUACGGGGCGGGGCGUCGCCUGGCAACGGGAGACGCGGCGCUGCCUGCGGGACGCGUGGUGGCCGUGGGGCACUAACGCCGUACGAGGCACGGGCUGCCUGUCGUGGGGAGAAGGAGGAGGAAGGCUAUCGGCUGCCCACCCCUCUCACCCUACCGGGCCCCUCCAGGCAGAAAGGCUUCAGUGCCCCCGGGCAGUGCCGUGGUUGCGCUGUGAUUCCAGGCAGGGCAGCAGCCAUGGCUGCACUCACCCUGUCCCAGAUGCUGGAUGCCGCUCUCGGCUCUCCCCAUCUCGUCAACUUUGGGGAGCUGCACAGCUUUCUGCAGGCCGUACUCCGGCAUCUGGGGCUGCAGGAUCUGCCUGCCCAGGAGCAGGGGCACAGCCCGACCCCCCUCCUGGAGGGACACCCUGGAGAAGAAGGGGGACAGAGCAGAGGCCUCGGCACAGGGCUUGAGCCAGUCGUCCCCGCAAAGGACACGCUGCAGGGAACUAUGAGCACCCCUCAGGUCACCUCUGUGGCCAUCAAGAUGGGGCAGAUGAAGGAGAAGAUGGAAGCAAACAACAGUGGCAUCUCCAAGGCUCUCCUCGAGGAGAUCAACAGGAUAAAGGCAGCACAAGCCUGCAUGGAAGAGGACAUCCAGAGGAUCCAGGAGGCGCUUGGCUUGAAAAGACUGGAGGAAAGGCUGAGGCUCUGCCCAGCCCUAGAGGAGGAGGACAGUGAGGGCCAGACAGCUCCUGCUGAGCCCCCUAAGUCAGACAAGGAUACCCAGUGCAGGGCAAGCCUAGCACUGGGGCCAAAGGGACCACCUGAGAAGUGGGCAGCUGCUCCCUCAGUUCGGACAAGGACUUCUGAUGGCAGUGCCAGCACCCCAGGAACACAGCCAGGGUCCCACAGCACCCAAACCCCCACCCUGGGGGCACAGACAGGAUCCUCUUGCACCCAGACUCCCACCCUAGGGAUACAGCCAAGGUCCCCCAGCAUCCAGACCACCAUGCAGGGAGUGCAGGCAGUACUUCCAGGGACUCAAGAAGAAGGAGCAGAAGUUCAGCCAAGCUGCAACAUGGAGAUGGUGGCGGCUUUUUGCCAAAUCCGGCAGCUCAGCCACCUCUAUGCCACCCUGAAGGAGCAGGUGGCCCAGCUGGCAAUCACCAAGUCAGACCGCACCGAACUUCAGAAGUUCCACCUGCUCUUCCCAGAGGGAGAUCAGGAGAACAUCACCAGUGUCCUGGCUGAUCUCUGGGGCCAGAUGUCUUCCCUGCAGGGCCUGGCCAGUGACCUGCAGGGUGAGAAGGGCAAGAUCAGGCAGCUGGAGGAUGCUCUUGGAAAGCUGCAAGUGUCUGAAGCUGACUGGACAGCAGAUGGCAGCCACAAAACCACCCUGCAACUGGGGCUGGUGCUGCAGGAAUUAAAGCAAGAGAUGGGAGAGCAGCAGCAGAAGAACCAGGCCGUGCUGGAGCAGCUGGUGGCCAAGAGUGCUGACCAGCUGCAGGCACAGCUGGACCAGCUGAGGGUGAUGGUGAAGAGCCCGUGGCAGGAAGAGGCACAGACAGCACGCCUCAUCUGCAGCAGGGACACCAGCGUGCAGGUGGAGCAGCUCCUGCAGCGCUAUGAGAAGCUGCAGGAGCAGGUGGAAUCCUUUGUGUGCCAGCAGGCAGUGGGCAAGGUGGCAAGGCAGUUGCUGGAGAGGAACCAGCAGGAUGAGAAGCUGCUGAAGCACAUCCAGGUCACCAUUGUGCAGCUGCAAGGAGAGAAUGAGAGGCUUAGCUCCAUUGUGGAAAACCUCCAGGAUGGCUUUCAGGAGAAGCAGAAAGAUAUUGAGGCUCUGUUUCAGUCCCUGGAGAAGCUGGAGAAAGAGAAAGCAGACAAGGAGGACCUGGCAGUUGAUGCGAAAGCAACCAAAUCCACCCUGGGCAGCAAAGUCAGCCGCGGCCAGUUUGAGGCCAGCAUGGAGCGGCUGAUGGAGAUGAUGGAGAAGAUGCAGAGCCAGGGGGUGGCCCAGGAGCAGGGCUUGCAGCAGGUCCAGCAACAGCUCAGGGAAGUGAUGGACCACAAGCUGGACCGCCUCGAGCUGGGGCCCGUCCAGCAGCAACUGGAGCACUGUCAGAACAUCCUGAAGCGGCUGAAGGACAAGGUGUCGCAGACGGAGGCUGAUGAUGCAGCUGGGAUUAAGAGCCAACAGCAGCUUCCUGACACUAGAGAAGGCAUGAGGAGGGGGAUCCUGCAGGACCGGGCGCUCCCAAACAAACACUGGGGUGUGGGUACAAAGGCUUUCUGGGCGGGGAUGGCAGCUCAUGUCCCCGGGCAGGGCUGCUGUUGGAGUGGUGUGAGGGCCAGUUCAGUGCACCCUUCACUCCUUGUCCCUGCCCACCCUGGGCAGCCAUGGGCAGCUGCUGGGUUUCGGAGCAGGUGGCAGGGCUGAGGCAAGCAUGUCCUGGUCCUCGGGCAGCGGUGACAAAGCUCAUCCUAAACACCAUUGGAACGCUGCAUCCUCCCGGCCCAGCGUUUGCUCCCAGGCUGGGAGCAUCCCACCCCAGCAAGAGGUACCAGAAUCUCUUUUUUUAGUCCUUGCCAGCACCAUUUCCCAUGGACAGGAGUGCAGUGGGUACCCGUGGGAGCAGUUCCUAAGGUUGUGGUGGGGUUUGGAUGCUCCUCUCUGUGGUUUCUCUGGUACGAGGUUGAGAUUUUUCCCAGGUGGGAGCCCACAACCAACCACUCUCCCUCCUCACAGUCCCUCUAUUCUGGAAGCAGCCAGCAGGUAGGGAUCUCGUAGGGUGGUGGGGGAUAAACUAGGCUCAAACCCCUACGGUUCCUCCUACAAACACCAUAACCUGCUACAGGGAGGUGCCCAGCUCCUUGCUGCUGCAUGCAAGCUGUGUCCCCUAGAAGCUCACUCAGCCUUUUUCUCACCUCUCCAGGUAUCCACUGGCCCAUUGUCACUGCUUGUCCUGUGACCAUCCCCUCAACACACCGGCACCUGGCCCGUGAGUGGUACCCAGCACCAUGGGGGGAGAUGUGCGCUGGCAGUGCCCUGCUGUGCAGGAUACAAGGGCUUAUGUGUCAGCCAGAGUGUCUGACUCUGCCAAGCCCCCUCCACAGCCCUGCCUGGCAGCAGGGAGAUAGUGACUCCUGCCCAGGGACUGGGGGUUGCCAUAGGGUACAAGCCGAUGGGUUUGGGAUGCUGCCCCGAGCUGGGGUGGGUCAUUUCUUCAAUCACCCACAUGUGGCUCCUGCCCUCCCCAGCAAAAACAUGGCCCUCCCGUUGCUGCCGCUGAUGCUCCCCUGCCCUGCCAGGGGCACUCCCACUGUCUUCAAGCCACAGGAAACACAGCAGCACAACAACAGGAAGCAGGCAACUGAGCACAGCUUUCCCAGCGUGCCACGGAGCAGUG